AGCUUGCUGGGUGGAUUAGUGGCGAACGGGUGAGUAACACGUGAGUAACCUGCCCUUAACUCUGGGAUAAGCCUGGGAAACUGGGUCUAAUACCGGAUAGGAGCGUCCACCGCAUGGUGGGUGUUGGAAAGAUUUAUCGGUUUUGGAUGGACUCGCGGCCUAUCAGCUUGUUGGUGAGGUAAUGGCUCACCAAGGCGACGACGGGUAGCCGGCCUGAGAGGGUGACCGGCCACACUGGGACUGAGACACGGCCCAGACUCCUACGGGAGGCAGCAGUGGGGAAUAUUGCACAAUGGGCGAAAGCCUGAUGCAGCGACGCCGCGUGAGGGAUGACGGCCUUCGGGUUGUAAACCUCUUUCAGUAGGGAAGAAGCGAAAGUGACGGUACCUGCAGAAGAAGCACCGGCUAACUACGUGCCAGCAGCCGCGGUAAUACGUAGGGUGCGAGCGUUAUCCGGAAUUAUUGGGCGUAAAGAGCUCGUAGGCGGUUUGUCGCGUCUGUCGUGAAAGUCCGGGGCUUAACCCCGGAUCUGCGGUGGGUACGGGCAGACUAGAGUGCAGUAGGGGAGACUGGAAUUCCUGGUGUAGCGGUGGAAUGCGCAGAUAUCAGGAGGAACACCGAUGGCGAAGGCAGGUCUCUGGGCUGUAACUGACGCUGAGGAGCGAAAGCAUGGGGAGCGAACAGGAUUAGAUACCCUGGUAGUCCAUGCCGUAACGUUGGGCACUAGGUGUGGGGACCUUCCACGGUUUCCGCGCCGCAGCUAACGCAUUAAGUGCCCGCCUGGGGAGUACGGCCGCAAGGCUAAACUCAAG
Molecule: ribosomal RNA, 812 nt
Filed under: Micrococcus sp.
Lineage: Bacteria; Bacillati; Actinomycetota; Actinomycetes; Micrococcales; Micrococcaceae
Description: bacterial SSU rRNA
Rfam family: Bacterial small subunit ribosomal RNA
Source: RNAcentral